AAGUCUUUGGGUUCUGGGGGGAGUAUGGUCNCAANGCUGAAACUUNAAGGAAUUGANGGAAGGGCACACCAGGAGUAAACACGCUAACAAGCCUAGCCGCAGUAGCUCUGCUCCGAACAGCAGCCUGAAAGGGUGAGGUGGUUUCAGCCCGGGGUGGUUUUCAAAGCCAUCCCAAAUCUAAAUGCUAGUCCGCCUCCGGGUGGGCGACACCUUCAAAUUGACGGGGAACUCCUAAAGCUCGGUGCACCAAGCCCCAUAAUAUCCGAAAGGGUGGGGUGGCCAGGUUAAUAGCCUCGGGUACGGUAAAAGCCACUGAGAUGUUACAAUGGACAAUCCGCAGCCAAGGCCCUACGUCGCCCUUCGGGGCGAUACGGGACAGGUUCAGAGACUAGAUGGAGGUGGGUCGUUGCAACAUACGGCUUAAGGUAUAGUCCGUCUGCACACGAAAAUGUGCAGGUUGGUUGCCCAUAANCGGAGCU
RNAcentral lists this ribosomal RNA (479 nucleotides) under Lentinellus montanus. Its description in RNAcentral is "partial 18s ribosomal RNA". The stretch from base 148 to 455 matches the Rfam family "Group I catalytic intron". Rfam says of the family: Group I catalytic introns are large self-splicing ribozymes. They catalyse their own excision from mRNA, tRNA and rRNA precursors in a wide range of organisms. The record is from RNAcentral. Lineage: Eukaryota; Fungi; Basidiomycota; Agaricomycetes; Russulales; Auriscalpiaceae.